UACAGAGGGGGCAAGCGUUGUUCGGAAUUACUGGGCGUAAAGGGCGCGUAGGCGGCCUGUUAAGUCAGACGUGAAAUCCCUCGGCUCAACCGGGGAACUGCGUCUGAUACUGGCGGGCUUGAAUUCGGGAGAGGGAUGCGGAAUUCCAGGUGUAGCGGUGAAAUGCGUAGAUAUCUGGAGGAACACCGGUGGCGAAGGCGGCAUCCUGGACCGGCAUUGACGCUGAAUAGCGAAAGCCAGGGGAGCAAACGGG
RNAcentral lists this ribosomal RNA (253 nucleotides) under uncultured bacterium. RNAcentral's name for it is "partial 16S ribosomal RNA". It matches the Rfam family "Bacterial small subunit ribosomal RNA", at positions 524 to 776 of the family's 1533-position model. The record is from RNAcentral.